Molecule: long non-coding RNA, 5159 nt
Organism: Salvia splendens (bonfire salvia)
Lineage: Eukaryota; Viridiplantae; Streptophyta; Magnoliopsida; Lamiales; Lamiaceae
Exons: 3
Source: RefSeq, a predicted model, not a curated record
UAUUUUACAGCUUUAUACUACUAGAAUUCACUAUUAAAUACUAAUAAUAAUAUUAAUCCCACAAAUCACUGAGACUAUUUUAAUUACUCUUUCCUGUUUACCAUAUGCAUUCAUUCUCAUAUCAUUCUAAAUAUUUUUAUUUAUUUUUUGGACAUAGGUAAUAGGGAAUAUUUGGAGUCCUUAAAAUUUACUCUGCGUUCAAACUCUCUACCGCCGGUCUCUCUCUCCUUGCUCCGCCGCUGCUCUCCGCAUUUCGGCAACGACGCACACAAUCGAACACUGCCGCCGCCGAUCUCCGCUUUUCUCCACCGCCGCACACAAUCAAACACCAAGCCUCCUCGUUCCCCCGCCGCUCUCCGCUUUUCUCCACCGCCGCAUACAAUCGAACACCAAGCCUCCUCGUUCCGCCGCCGCUCUCCGCUAUUCUCCACCGCCUGUUUCUCUCAAGCUCCAAGGUAUGGAUGAUACUAUAUCACAAGACUUUAUUCCUAAGAUAGGAAUGGAGUUUGCAACAGAAGUUGAGACAUAUGAUUUUUAUAUGAAAUAUGCUAAGGCAACAUGUUUUGGAACUCGAAAAAUAGCUGCUCAUAAGGAUCCAAUUACAGGAAACCUUUUGGACAUUAGUUUUUGUUGUUGUAGACAAGGUUUUAGAGCAAUAGACAAUCGAUGUGUUACAGUCAAGAGACCUCGUCCUGAAAUUAGGUGCGAAUGUAAGGCUAUGUUGAAAAUUUACGGUAGAUAAAAUGGAAAGUUUCGUAUUGUGAAAUUUGUUGAAGAACACAAUCAUGAUUUGUGUGAUCCGGAAAAAUCUUAGAUGUUUAGAUGUUUUCGGCAAAUGUCUAAUGUUCAACAAACUCAAGUUGAUGUUGCUCAAAGUUGUGAAUUGCCUCCAAAGAAAACUCUGGAUGUAAUGGCAAAAGAAUCCGGUGGAAUUCAACAUCUUGGUUUCACUCAUAUUGAUUUGAAGAAUUAUUUGAGAACUAAGAGAACUUUGGAGAUUAAACAAGGUGAUGCGAUAGUAGAGGUGUUUUACAAUACUCCCUCCGUCCCGCACUACUUGCACUUAUUUCCUUUCUGGGCGUCCCAAGUUAUUUGCACUCUUUCAAUUUUUAGUAACAAUUUAUACCUACAGCCGUAAUUGUUGACUUUGUCUAUCACUCAUUCCUUAAUCUCCGUGCCCAAAAGGAAAGGUGCGAGUAGUGCGGGACGGAGGGAGUAUUUACAAAGGAUGAUAAGUGAGGAUCCACACUUUUACUCUACAAUACAACUGGACGUGGAAGAUCUAAUUACCAAUAUAUUUUGGACCGAUGGUAAAAUGAUACAAGAUUUUGGUCAUUUUGAGGAUGUUUUUUUGCUUUGAUACUACCUUUAGAAAACAUCGUCAUGGUAGACCAAUUGCUCUGUUCGUCGGCGUAAAUCAUCAUAAACAAAAAGUUGUGUUUGGUGCAGCAUUAUUAUACGACGAAACAAUUGAAACCUUUGAGUGGUUGCUUAGUGCAUUUGAAGAUGCCAUGAUGGGAAAACGACCAAAAACUAUCUUAACAGAUCAGGACCAAGCAAUAAGCGUUGCUUUAGCUUCCAAGUGGCCAUCUACCUACCAUCGCUUGUGUGUUUGGCACAUUUUUCAGGAUGCAACAAUCCAUGUUUCAAGUGUUUUUUCGAGUUUUAAGAACACAUUUGCAGUUGGUUUUAGUCGUUGUGUGUACGACCUUGAAGAAGAAUCGGAAUUCCUUGAGGCAUGGAAUGAAAUGAUAGAGAAAUACAACUUGCAAGAUAAUCAGUGGUUGACAAGAAUGUUUUCUCUAAGAGAAAAAUGAGCAUUGGUAUAUGGAAGAAAUACGUUUUGCGCCGAUAUCAUUACAACUCAACGAAGUGGGUGCAUGAAUGCUGUUGUGAAACAUUAUGUAAAUUACAGAAACAACAUUGUUGAGGUGUUCCAUCAUUUUUCAAAGGUUGAUAGAUGAUCUACGCGAGAAAGAAGCUGCAGAAGAUUUCAAAAAUGCUCAAAGCUCCCCUGUCAUGACUUUUCCAUUAGAAACACUAAAGCAUGCAGCUGCCAUAUAUACACAUAAGAUAUUUGCAUUAUUUAGUGAGGAGUUGAGAAAGGCAUUUGAAAGCAAGAUCGAGAGUGAGAAUCAACUUGGAAGCUCAAGAAUAUAUAAGGUUCGACCACUUGAUCGGGCUAAUGAACAUAUUGUCACAUAUGAUUCCAUUGAAGUUUCCAUUUCUUGCAGCUGUAGAAAGUUUGAAUUCUCGGGUAUUUUAUGCUCACAUUGUUUAAGAGUCUUUACAUUAAUGAAUGUCAUUCAUAUACCCGAUGAAUAUAUCUUAAAGCGAUGGACCAAACAUGCUAAGAGUGGGAUGACGAGAGUUUGCAAGGAAGGAGUUGUCAUUGUUGAUGAAAAAACCCGAAAGAAACAGUGAUAUAGAGAGUUAUGUAAUUCAUUCAUACAAUUGACAGUCAAGGCAGCCGAGAGUGAAGAUAGUUAUGCUUAUGCCAUGGAAUGUCUCUUGAAAAUGGGAAACGACAUUGAUGGAAUGGUAGAGAAGGGAAUAAAUGUUACUGUUGAGGUAAAGAAGGUCGGAGAGUAAGAGACCGAAGAAUGCUUUGGAACAAGCUAUCAGUAAAACACGGAAACCAAAAGCAAUAAAGAGUGGUUUGGUACAUGCUUCUUCUACGCAGGAAUCUGAAGGGAUUGCACUCAUCAAUGAUGAGUACUGGAACUUAACGUACACUGCUUUUGAUCCUCAAAGUACAUCAUAAAUUUGGUGUAGACAGUGAUGCAAACUUGCUUGCAAUGAAGAAGGGCAAACUAUCUGGAUUAUUGUUUUGCUAUUUUCGAAUAUUUCAUGCACAAAACUAGAAUUUUAUUGAGCUUGAACUGGAAAAAAUUUGAUGAACUCAAUUAGUUUGUUGUGAAUAUUUUUAUACAUUAUGGUCAAUUUCAUGAUUUUAAUAUUUUUGCUUCUUGGUUGGAGCAUAUUUGAAAUUUUGUAGUUGCUGCUUUGUGAUAAAAUAAUCCAGAAAUAGUGAUUCUUUAACGGGAGUAAUUGAUUGUGUAGUGCAGUUCUUUUCAUAGACCGGAGUAUAUAUGUACUGGAGUAAUAUUGUGAUUGAAAGAAUUUGUAAGUAGCAGUGAAGCAGUGUCUUUAGCAACUUUGAUUGUGUAGUGAAUAUGUACUGGAGUAUAUAUGUAAGGAAUUUGGUAGUGGCAGUGAAUUGAUUCUGUAGUGUAGUUCUUUUCGUAGCUCUUUUCAGAAAUUAGCGACUUCAGAAAUUAGUUUCGUAAUUAGUUUUCUGAAACUUUAGCAGAGAGAGAGAACCAGCUUCUCGUUAGUGAAGACAUUGAAGAGAAUUUUUUUUGAGUGUAAAUCUGAUUUUCUGGAGAUAUUUAGUCAAAUCUCUUUAUUUGUAAAGAAGAUCAUGUGUCUAUUUUUAUUAGUGUAUUAGGAGAUGUUUUAGGAUAGUUAGAAUGCUUACCGUGAUCUGAUUCAUUCUGAUUCUUACCACGAUUUAUCCCAUGAUUCAUCCCACGGUGAUCCUUACCGUGAUCCAAUUAAUUCUGCUUGUUUUGUCUUGAUUGGAAAAUGUGGAAUGCGUUCUCUCUCCUAUGCAGGAGGUAUAUACAGUUAGGGAUUCAAUCACAGUAAUAUGGUAUUACUUUGAUUGUUCAGUCUAAUCUUCUGAAAUAGGUAUAUCAUUAUAAGAUGCAAUAUCAGUCCAUUUCAGUUUGAAAUACAGCUGACAUUUGUAGUUUGUUGGGAAAGGAUUGGCUUAUUUCAUGGAUAGGGAUGAAUUUAACUACCUUUAUUAUUAACGUUUGGCAUUGGCUUAUUUCAUGGAUACGGAUGAAUUUAACUACCUUUAUUAUUAACAUUUGGCAUUGGCUUAUUUCAUGGACAGGGAUGAAUUUAGCUACCACACAGCCCCAGACGCAACAAAUAGCUCAAAAUCUGGACUGCAACGAAUAGCUCAUAAUCUGGAAUGCAUUUUUAGCUCUUUUCAUCAUCAUUUCGUUACUCUAUUUCAAUUUCGAAGAUCUUGGGCUAUGUUGAUUUGGAACACUUGUAGGUCUAUCUGGCAGCUACCGAGCAUCGUACAUUGUAAGUUUCCUUUCCAUGGCACUUAUUUGUUCUCUUUAUUUAUAGAUUUCGACUUUUACUGUUAUUUUUUUAUUUUUGGCUGUAUUUGUUCCCUAAGUUGAUUUGUGUGGUUUUAGAUAUUUCAGAAUGAUGAAUUUAUUUCUAAAUUUUGCUGGUUGUUUUGUGUUGCCGUCUAGAAGUAAGUAUUAGUUUUCAUUAUCAUCAUUUUAUUAUUAUUGAACACAUUUUUUUCUUCUUUUGCAUGAAUUUUGAUCUUUUAUUGCAGAUAUGCACAGAAGAAAACCAUAUUAUCUGUUGAAGACAUCAUUUCUUUGAUUGGUAAUAAGUGUGAUGGAGUUUUUGGACAGGUAAACUUCACACACACACACACAGAGCUGUUUUUGGAGAUGAUUUGGACUGUUUUUUUUUCCGUUGACUGAUGAUUUGAAAAAUAUGCAAGAAUAAGUAUGUUGGUGGUGGUGAAUUAGGGAGUGCUGACAGAGACUACAGCAGAAUUAGCAGCUUCACUCUCUUUAGCUGCAGCCAGAAGAAUUGUGGAGGGUGAAGAAUUCAUGAGGGGUGGCUUGUAUGAUGGAUGGCUUCCUGUUAAGGAUAUUGAUCCUCAACGUCGAAUUUUCCACACAAUCAAGAAACGGUUGUCGUCGUUGUCGAGCGCCCAACGUUUGGGUCGGCGACUUGAACGGCAAAAGGGGCGGCUGAGCGCGAGAUCAGUCUCAUCGGCAGCCUUAUGAGAGGGUUGAAGAUGUACUUGAUCUACUUUGAUCUCUACCGGUCCACUCGUCUGGUGAAGUUCGUUACUGCCUAUGGGGACUUCCUCAAGGCGGAUGGAGAGGCGACGACUUAUCUGGUGAAUAAGUAGAGGCUGGCAAAGAUGAAGGCGAGGUGCAAUGGUGCGAGAGAAAGCGGAUACGAGGGCAAUAGUUAGGGAACAACCUAUGGAAGAACGAAUGAUGCAUCUCUUUAAUGGAAAAUUCAGACAAAUGACAAAUGUAUAGUUUAGUUUAAUUUUGUAGAACAACCUAUCUUAUUCAGUAACCUAUUCUUUGUUAGGUAUA